GAUGAACGCUGGCGGCGUGCCUAAUACAUGCAAGUCGAACGAAACUUUUUUGUCCCCGAGCGCUUGCCCUCACCGAUAAAGGGUUGAGUGACGAAUGGAUGACUUACCUGUAAGCAAGGUAUCCCAAAGAGGGAGAUGACCUUUGAACACAGGAUCUAUUGCCCCAUAAGCAUCGUUACUGCAAGACGCCUUUGUAAAAGGUGACAGUUCUACCGCCUUUGGAUUGGCCCGCGGCGCAUUAGCUAGUUGGGAGGGUAAAGGCUUACCAAGGCAAUGAUGCGUAGCCGAAUUGAGAGGUUGAUCGGCCACAUUGGAACUGAGACACGGUCCAGACUCCUACGGGAGGCAGCAGUAGGGAAUCUUCCGCAAUGGGCGAAAGCCUGACGGAGCAACGCCGCGUGGGUGAAGAAGGUCUUCGGAUCGUAAAACUCUGUUAUUAGAGAAGAAAGUAUGUGUGAGUAACUGUGCACGUUUUGACGGUACCUAACCAGAAAGCCACGGCUAACUACGUG
Molecule: ribosomal RNA, 512 nt
Filed under: uncultured bacterium
Lineage: Bacteria
Description: partial 16S ribosomal RNA
Rfam family: Bacterial small subunit ribosomal RNA
Source: RNAcentral